CGCAGCCGCGGUAAUUCCAGCUCCAAUAGCGUAUAUUAAAGUUGUUGCAGUUAAAAAGCUCGUAGUUGAAUUUCGGGAUCAAUGUUUCGGUCAUGCCCUUGGUAUGUACUGAUAUUAUUGGUUUCUCACCUUCUAAAGAACCGUAAUGCCAUUAAUUUGGUGUCACGGGGAAUUAGGACUGUUACCUUGAAAAAAUUAGAGUGUUUAAAGCAGGCUCACGCUUGAAUACAUUAGCAUGGAAUAAUGAAAUAGGACAUCCGAUUCUAUUUUGUUGGUUUCUAGGAUCGAUGUAAUGAUUAAUAGGGAUAGUUGGGGGCAUUAGUAUUCAAUUGUCAGAGGUGAAAUUCUUGGAUUUAUUGAAGACUAACUACUGCGAAAGCAUUUGCCAAGGAUGUUUUCAUUAAUCAAGAACGAAAGUUAGGGGAUCGAAGACGAUCAGAUACCGUCGUAGUCUUAACCAUAAACUAUGCCGACUAGGGAUCGGAUGAUGUUAAUUUUUUAAUGACUCA
Molecule: ribosomal RNA, 509 nt
Filed under: uncultured glomeraceous AM fungus
Lineage: Eukaryota; Fungi; Glomeromycota; Glomeromycetes; Glomerales; Glomeraceae
Description: SSU rRNA
Rfam family: Eukaryotic small subunit ribosomal RNA
Source: RNAcentral